GACGAACGCUGGCGGCGUGCUUAACACAUGCAAGUCGAACGGAAAGGCCCUGCUUUUGUGGGGUGCUCGAGUGGCGAACGGGUGAGUAACACGUGAGUAACCUGCCCUUGACUUUGGGAUAACUUCAGGAAACUGGGGCUAAUACCGGAUAGGAGCUCCUGCUGCAUGGUGGGGGUUGGAAAGUUUCGGCGGUUGGGGAUGGACUCGCGGCUUAUCAGCUUGUUGGUGGGGUAGUGGCUUACCAAGGCUUUGACGGGUAGCCGGCCUGAGAGGGUGACCGGCCACAUUGGGACUGAGAUACGGCCCAGAAUCCUACGGGAGGCAGCAGUGGGGAAUAUUGCACAGUGGGCGGAAGCCUGAUGCAGCAACGCCGCGUGCGGGAUGCCGGCCUUCGGGUUGUAAACCGCUUUCGCCUGUGACGAAGCGUGAGUGACGGUAAUGGGUAAAGAAGCACCGGCUAACUACGUG
This 468-nucleotide ribosomal RNA is filed under the name uncultured bacterium. Its description in RNAcentral is "partial 16S ribosomal RNA". It matches the Rfam family "Bacterial small subunit ribosomal RNA", at positions 28 to 507 of the family's 1533-position model. The record is from RNAcentral.